AUUGAACGCUGGCGGCAUGCCUUACACAUGCAAGUCGAACGGUAACAGGUCUUCGGACGCUGACGAGUGGCGAACGGGUGAGUAAUGCAUCGGAACGUGCCCAGUCGUGGGGGAUAACUGCUCGAAAGAGCAGCUAAUACCGCAUACGACCUGAGGGUGAAAGCGGGGGACCGUAAGGCCUCGCGCGAUUGGAGCGGCCGAUGUCAGAUUAGCUAGUUGGUGGGGUAAAGGCCUACCAAGGCAACGAUCUGUAGUUGGUCUGAGAGGACGACCAGCCACACUGGGACUGAGACACGGCCCAGACUCCUACGGGAGGCAGCAGUGGGGAAUUUUGGACAAUGGGCGCAAGCCUGAUCCAGCAAUGCCGCGUGCAGGAAGAAGGCCUUCGGGUUGUAAACUGCUUUUGUCAGGGAAGAAAUCGUCUGGGCUAAUACCCCGGGAGGAUGACGGUACCUGAAGAAUAAGCACCGGCUAACUACGUG
This 482-nucleotide ribosomal RNA is filed under the name uncultured bacterium. Its description in RNAcentral is "partial 16S ribosomal RNA". It matches the Rfam family "Bacterial small subunit ribosomal RNA", at positions 30 to 507 of the family's 1533-position model. The record is from RNAcentral.